GGAGGGGGGCGAGGGUUGGGCCAUGGCGCGCCUCGACCCCACGACGAGAAGCAGCGGGAGGAGGAAGAGGAGGUGAUGGGGAAGGCGAGUCCCGUUCCUGAUCGCCAUGGAGAGCCGCGCGCGAGGUGUUUCUAGAAGAGUGUAGAGGUAAGAGGGAAUAAUAGCUAGCGAAUGUUGGCGCGGUUUAUAACUAUAACUAAUAUAUCGAAGGAAGGGGGGAACGAAGUUGUGGCUUUGGUGCUAAUAUAGUAGGAGCCUACGAGGGAGGGGAAGAGGAGUUUUUUUUUUUCUUUUCUAUGAAAAAAAAAAAAAAAAAAUUGAGGGCAAGUCAAAUAGACAUUUGGUGCGGGGACGACCGGGGAUUAGUAGGUCUGGGUCCGACGCGUGGGGUCGGGGCUCAACACACGUGAGAGUCCCGUUUACGAUUGGCACGUAUGUAUGUAUGAAAUUAAUGAAGGGAGAAUAAAUGAAUGAUAUAUGAUCAGCAUCAUUCCCGUAUAACCCCCUCACCUUCGUGGGAAUUACGCGGUUCGUCCGAACGUGUAAAAGAUGCUUGACGAUAGGUUUUCACCAACUUUGUUUCCUAAUUCAGGGAGCUGGGGUGGAAUGCAAAGUUUCCGUUGGAGAAAGCAACGGUGGCGGAAUUUGGGUUAAAGUCUGACUUUCUGGAUUGUGCAGUUUGGGCAGUCAAGGACGGCAGCUGCUGCUCCUCCUGCGGUCGGGCAUCUAAAGAUUCUAGAGAUGCGGCAGUAAGUCAACAGCAAGAACGUGAGAAGGGAAUCGGUGGGUUCUAGAAAAGCUCCAAACUCGAUCGGAGCCAUCGAGGCUGACGCAACUCGAUCCGCAGAGAGGGUUUUUUUUNUUUUUUUUUUUUUUUUUUUUUUUUUUUUUUUUUUUU
RNAcentral lists this long non-coding RNA (898 nucleotides) under Ananas comosus (pineapple). RNAcentral's name for it is "long non-coding RNA (ACOM_LNC010924)". The record is from RNAcentral. Lineage: Eukaryota; Viridiplantae; Streptophyta; Magnoliopsida; Poales; Bromeliaceae.